CAGGCGCCACCCAAUAAAAGUGCUUAAAAUGUUCUGUUCCUCAAUUAAAAUAUAAACCAGAGCUGUUUAAGGGCUUUUACGAGGUGAUUUCUAUUUACCUGACAGAUUUCCACACUGGAGGAGCACAAAGCAGGAUUUCAGUUUCUGAUCAGAGUGAUGGCUCUGCAAAAUAGUAAAGUUUCAAUUGUUUUAAUUUAUUUCUUUUGGGGGGUUGGGGGUUUUUUGUUUGUUUGUUUAAUUUCAGGAAUAAUAAAAAUCUGUUAAGAAGAAAGGAAUUCCUAUGCCAGAUAAAAAUGAGGAAGAACUUGGAAGGGUGAUCAUUGCUGAUCACACAUGCUGGAGGAACUGGGAUCCAGGAUGAACUCCUGGAGCCUGUGCCAGCACCUGCUAACCCUUCCUUCCAAAUGUCAUCAAACAAAAGCCAGGGAAAAGUACUCUGCUCUUGUUUGAAACAGCCUCUUAUGAAGAGAAACAAGACUAUGGCCAGACAAAAUCUCCCAUUUUCCCCUAAGAAACAGUGCGUGAAUGCUGUCAUGGCUGUUCCACUGCAGAUGGAUAUUUCAUCUCCCAUCCUGCCUUACUAUGACUCUCAAAAAAAAAAGAAACUUUCUUUUUACCUUCCUGCUACUCAAGCAGGAGGGGAUGUUACAUGGAAAACAAGCAUUUUCACUAAAAACCCCUCUACUUUCUGUUCCAGAGCCUCAGGAACUCACCUUCAGUGGCAUGAGAGGUGCAGAAAAGGCUUCGCCGUGUGCUGUUAUGCUUUUACAACGUGCUGAUCCCUGGUCUCCUGUGCCCCACCCUCUGGCAGCUCAUCACUCCAGUGCACCUGGUCAGCAUCAGGAGAAGAUUGUACUCCUGCAAGACAAAGCUUUCAGCACCUUAAACCUUCUGGUUUUAGAAAGCCAAAGAAGCUGGAAGCAAUCACGAUGCAGCUGCAGCGUUUUCAUGUGAAAUGCCCGAGCUGGGAACCACGGGAGCAGAGGCAUUCCUGCUGCGGGAAUGCGCCUGGGGAAGGAGCCGCUGGCUCUGUGAUGGAUCGCAGCAGCCACUGGAUGGCAUCGCUCCACACGAAUGGACCUGGAGCCGAGCUCGGCACGGCUGCUGUGCCCGGGAGAUCCAUCCAGCCCCGAGAGGCUCCGGCCACCGUGACCUCACCAACCCUUUAAACAACAUUCAGAGUUCUCCUGGCUGCCCGGCCGGGAGCUCCGGGCACUGAGUUUGGUCAGAGCGAACAAGGCAGACACCCUGAAGCAAACCUGUUUCCAGGCUGAGCGUGUUUGUCUUUCAUUUUAGUGACUCCGUGUGGCCAAGCCAGCUUGAGAAUGUCACUGGCCAAGUUCAUGCUCAAAAGAAAUCUGCUGGUGGCUUUGGUGCAGCAGGAUCUUUGGGACUGCAGCUCCACAGAAGGUGUAUCUGAAGGGGAAUACACUAUUUGUGGGGUCAGCUGGCAGUCACGGCCAGCAGAUUUAUCUUCAGCUAGGACAUGACACCAUCAGGACUUACCUCCCAAUCCAAACAGCAAGAGAACUGUGUCCAUCUUGAUGUGCUCAGCAGUCCGCUGGUAAAUGCUUUCAGCUGUCAGAAAUACUCAGGCUUGGUGGGAAAUUGAGGUUAUAUCAGCAGGAGGCUGCUCAGGUCCUUCUUCUGGUGACCACAGCUCUGCUGCAGUGGCUGUAAGAGAUCAGAACAACUGGCAGUGAUUUUCUGUUUCACAUCUCUGUUUGGUACCACUGCUUGAGGUCUUGUGUCACCCAUGGGAAGGCUUCUAUGAGGUGACACCAGAGAGCUCAGUGGGUUUGAUCUCUUUCCAUUGACUUUUGAGGAAAUGGCAAUUUCUCCCCAACUUCAGCACUUUCAGGGCUGUGUUUGAAAACAGGAAGGAUAAAUCUGAAUAUCUUCCUCUAUUUAAUAGUCAGGAGUGUAAAGACUAAAAGAAGGGUGUUUCAUACAGCUCCUACACUG
Molecule: long non-coding RNA, 1965 nt
Organism: Melospiza melodia melodia
Lineage: Eukaryota; Metazoa; Chordata; Aves; Passeriformes; Passerellidae
Exons: 4
Source: RefSeq, a predicted model, not a curated record